RNAcentral lists this ribosomal RNA (546 nucleotides) under uncultured bacterium. RNAcentral's name for it is "bacterial SSU rRNA". It matches the Rfam family "Bacterial small subunit ribosomal RNA", at positions 365 to 908 of the family's 1533-position model. The record is from RNAcentral.
UCGGCAAUGGACGAAAGUCUGACGGAGCGACGCCGCGUGCGGGAUGAAGGCCCUUGGGUUGUAAACCGCUUUCGGAGGGGAUGAAAUCCUCGAGGGUACUCCCUCGAGGUUGACAGAGCCUCAAAAGAAGCACGGGCUAAGUACGUGCCAGCAGCCGCGGUAACACGUACUGUGCGAACGUUAUUCGGAAUCACUGGGCUUAAAGGGUGCGUAGGCGGCGAUUCAAGUCAGAUGUGAAAUGCCUGAGCUCAACUGAGGCAUUGCGUUUGAAACUGAUUCGCUAGAGUAUUUCAGGGGUGUGCGGAACUGCCAGUGGAGCGGUGAAAUGUGUUGAUAUUGGCAGGAACACCGGAGGCGAAAGCGGCACACUGGGGAAUAACUGACGCUGAGGCACGAAAGCUAGGGGAGCGAACGGGAUUAGAUACCCCGGUAGUCCUAGCUGUAAACGAUGAGCACUGGGCGGGAGGGGGUUUCCCCUUUCUGCCGUAGCGAAAGCGUUAAGUGCUCCGCCUGGGGAGUAUGGUCGCAAGGCUGAAACUCAAAGGA